Molecule: long non-coding RNA, 1191 nt
Organism: Astyanax mexicanus (Mexican tetra)
Lineage: Eukaryota; Metazoa; Chordata; Actinopteri; Characiformes; Acestrorhamphidae
Exons: 6
Source: RefSeq, a predicted model, not a curated record
ACUACACAAAAGUAAGAAAUUGUGCGGCCCACGUGACCCCUCCUCCGCGCGGUCUGUUUGAUUAUGCUUCAUUCUCAGGUGUGGAAGCACCUGUAGUUGGACCUGUGUUUGGACAUGGCGUCGAAAAAGCCUGAAGAUAUUUGACGGAAAAGAAGAGACGGAGAGACGCGGCUCGUUCGUAGUUUGGAGUUGCACUGAAGCGAUGGAAACCUCCGUGACCAGAGAAGGUCAAAAGUUCCGCGCUUGCUGAAAGAGAGAGAGAGAGAAACGGCGACAGAAGAAAGGAAAGAGGGAAAGAGAGAAAUGUAACUGACGACUCAAGUCUCAGCGAGAAAAAAGUUCCAGAGCUUAAAAGUCCUCGUCCUUUGAGAUUUCCCUCCACGUUCCUGCUUUUGUCUUUCCUGCACUGUGCUGCUUGUGGUUUGUCCGUGGAGGCGCUGGUCCCUUUGCACCUCUCCGCUCUGCUGGACGUCCUUAGAGGACUGAUCAUUCCCACAGGGGCACAUUAGGAUGAAAAAUCUGACUGACUGAGGCCUAAACUUUUCUACAAGUAUGAGAGAGCUGAAGGAGCCUAUCCCAGCAGGUCACUGUGACACUGACAUCAUGCAGAUCUCAGAAAUCUCUUUCUGCUCUUUAAAAACUUACCAAAGCACUUGCUCUGGUUGGUGGCUCUGUCCAUGAACACCUUGGAGGAGAUGACCGUUCCAAAGGGCAAGAACAUCUGCAUGAGCUCGUUAUCGCCGAACUCCUGUGUUUUUAAAGAAGUCAGAAGAACUAGUGACAUGUUUUACUAAUUGCAUCUAUUAUAAGAAAGAAAAGUCUCUCACCCUCACCUUCUCUCUGCUGCUGCUGCUGGAUGACUUGGGGUGGCUGUGGCAAGCUUUGACCAAUAGGGGUCAGUGUGGUUGCCGGGUAGAUCGCUAUAAAGGAAACAAAGAGACAGCAUGGUGAGCUGGCCAGGCUCAGAAAUGGAAAAUAUUGUCAUACAGCACUGACUGUGGGUUCUGGAUGAGCUUAAACCAGUCUUUAGAAUUAAAAUAUUACAUAUUAAAUGUCACAUUUUUAUAUAUAUAUAUAUUAUUGUUGUUUUAUUGAAGAAUUAAGGCAGGUUUUUGGGUAACAAUGCAUCAAAAAAACUUUUUAAUUUUUGUGAGUAUAAAUGCAAACGUUAUUAAAAUGAUUAUUCGCGUC